AUUCAAACAUGGUAUGAUGCAAGGGGUGGGCAUGUUAUAAAUGCUGGGGUAGGUCUGGGCACCUCCCAGUUCCUCAUCUGGACUCACUGGGAGAAGUGAUUCACUAGAAUUCUCAUUGGAAGAAAUGACAGGAAAGCUCCCUCCAAUAUCUCAAUUUCCACCCCACUCAGUACCUGGUUUUAUGAUUCCACACCCUCCUAAUCCAUCCUGCCCUCCUAACACAUCCCACUCUCGUAAGCCAUCCCACUCUCGUGCCCGCGAAUCCCUCCCUCUUCUUCCAUCUGCCAAGCCCCUUCCUCCUCUCCAGAAGUACGUGGAUUUUUCAGUUUUCUGCCCUAACUGUUAUCCCACUGUGGCUCAUACCUGCCCUCCCCACUACCCUACCCUAAUACUCUACCUGCACUGCUCUUCUGCUAUUCAUUACAAACCAUCCAUUUGUCAAUGCUCUAGUCCCAGAACUCUUUCUGGUAACUCCCUUAUCGAUCACCCUAGCCCUCCUUCUAGCCCUACUGGUCAACGCUUGGGUCCCAGAACUCUUCCCUGUGAUUCCCUUAUCCGUUCUCCUGUUCCUCCUCCUAGCCCUCCUUGCCAACGCUCUGGUCCCAGAACUCUUUUCUGUGACUACCCUGUCUGUCCCCCUACUCCUCCUCCCAGCCCUACUUGCAAAUGCUGUCGUCCCAGAGCUGUUUCCUGGGACUCCUCUACCUAUGCCUCUACCCCUCCUCCUUAGCCCUACUUCUUUCUAGUACCCUGUACUCUAGUCCCCAGCCCCCAGCCCUGCCAUCCCCAACCAGACCUUAUGGUUCACAAGUCUCAUCUUGGAGAUGGUUUCCCUGCUCCCGGGGCAGUUCUGGAACAGUUCAGGAUGGCCAGGACUGUGGAUUCCCAGCAGUCUGACCUCGUGGACAAAGGAAAUGCAAGACGAUGGCAAACCAGCAUUCAGCCUCAUCUGCUCCUUUCCUCCCCUGCCUCAUCAGCCAGCCUGCAUGAGCCUCUACAUUUGUUCCUGGCUUCUCCAUGGAACUCGGUCUACAGCCACAAAGCAAACCACAGGGCCAGUGACAGAGAAGGCAGAGGGGAGUGUGGAGUGGGAAGCACCUAACCUGUUCUCAAGGAGGGGAAUGAUUGGCCAAGAUGAGUUUCAAUCGUAUGUCCACUACCUCCUGGCCUGCCACUUGGCUGUGAGUCCUUUCUGGGCGGUGUCCAGGGGCGGUUCCAGUGAUCAGGCAGGUGCUGAGAAGCACAGGCAGGAUGAGGGGAUACUUGCCAGGAGACAGCAUGGGAUGCCAUUGCCUAGAGUUGGCAGAAGGACCAGGAGCAGGCAGGCAGCGAGAGAACACCCAGAGUGCUCCUGAUCGGACCAAGCUGCAUGGAGGCCACAAUGGGACACCUGAGGGAAAAGGUGACCCCAGAUGAGGUCCAUCGGAACCAGAUAUUGUGGGAACUGUCAAACCAGACCAAGAAGUAUGGAGGCCACAGAGGGACACCCCAGGGAGGUGACCCUGGAUGAGGUUCAUCAGAACUAGAUCUUGUGAGAACUACCUGACCAGACCAAGCAGCACAGAGGCCACGGUGAGACACCUGAGGGAGAAGGCGAACCCAGAUAAGGCUCAUCGGGUUCCGAUCUUGUGAGAACUGCAGAAGGCGACCACAGAUGAGGCUCAUCAGAACUAGAUCUUGUGAGAACUGCCUGAGCAGACCAAGCAGCACAGAGGCCACAGUGAGACACAUGAGGGAGAAGGUGAACCCAGAUGAGGCUCAUCAGGAACAGAUCUUGUGGGAACCAGAGAGGACAACCCCGGAUGAGGUCCAUCAGAACCAGAUCUUGUGGGAACUGCACUUCAAAGUGCUACAGACCCACAAACACUACAUGCAGCAUCACAUGAAUGCCCUCUGCAAGGGUGAGGGGCCUGGCAGGAUGGAGGAAAUACCAGAGAGGGGGGAUGCGCCCUGAAAAAAAGGAGAGCCCUGGGGACUGCGGAAGGUGGAGUGUGCGUCUCAUUAAAGGAGAAGAUACCUUCUCACACCCUACCUCCUUUUAUAGACUUUAGGAGCAAUGUCUUUGGAGGGGGCCUCACCUACAUCACAUCAGAUGCAUUAAAU
Molecule: long non-coding RNA, 2103 nt
Filed under: Homo sapiens (human)
Lineage: Eukaryota; Metazoa; Chordata; Mammalia; Primates; Hominidae
Description: non-protein coding LINC00442:1
Source: RNAcentral